UUGACUCUCAAAUGAGAAUCGUUAUGAUUAUCACAACUGGUCGCGAGAUCAGCCGAUAACUGAAAGACCAUUGGUUCGGACUCUCAGAUUAUCUCCUCAUCAGGCUAAUCACGGUUAUUUGACCCGGCUUUUGCCGGGUCUUUUUUUG
Molecule: non-coding RNA, 148 nt
Organism: Pseudomonas sp. 1 R 17
Lineage: Bacteria; Pseudomonadati; Pseudomonadota; Gammaproteobacteria; Pseudomonadales; Pseudomonadaceae
Source: Rfam